Molecule: long non-coding RNA, 312 nt
Organism: Bubalus bubalis (water buffalo)
Lineage: Eukaryota; Metazoa; Chordata; Mammalia; Artiodactyla; Bovidae
Exons: 2
Source: RefSeq, a predicted model, not a curated record
AGUUGUAGGAAUCUCUUGCAUAUUUUGCAUAUUAACCCCUCAUGCAAUGCAUGGUUGCAAAUAUUUUCUCCCAUUCUAUAGGUGGCCUUUUCAUUUUGUUGAUGGUUUCCUGUGCUGUACAGAAGCUUUUUUUUGGUUUGAAGAAGAACUUCAACUGAGGCCUGAAUGACAAGCCGAAAUUAGCUAUGUGUCGGAAGAAGGAUAUCACAGAGCCCAGACUUUUGGCUGCAAGAAGUAUUUAGGAGGAUGGAGGGGUAGGAGUGGAAGGAGGAAUGAAGAUGGGAAGAUCAAUAAAAGGAGUGUCGUUUCAUG